UACGAAGGGGGUUAGCGUUGUUCGGAAUUACUGGGCGUAAAGCGCACGUAGGCGGAUCGAUCAGUCAGGGGUGAAAUCCCAGGGCUCAACCCUGGAACUGCCUUUGAUACUGUCAACCUGGAGUAUGGAAGAGGUGAGUGGAAUUCCGAGUGUAGAGGUGAAAUUCGUAGAUAUUCGGAGGAACACCAGUGGCGAAGGCGGCUCACUGGUCCAUUACUGACGCUGAGGUGCGAAAGCGUGGGGAGCAAACAGG
This 253-nucleotide ribosomal RNA is filed under the name uncultured bacterium. RNAcentral describes it as "partial 16S ribosomal RNA". It matches the Rfam family "Bacterial small subunit ribosomal RNA", at positions 524 to 776 of the family's 1533-position model. The record is from RNAcentral.